RNAcentral lists this microRNA precursor (110 nucleotides) under Bombyx mori (domestic silkworm). RNAcentral's name for it is "microRNA bmo-mir-3309 precursor". The record is from miRBase by way of RNAcentral. Lineage: Eukaryota; Metazoa; Arthropoda; Insecta; Lepidoptera; Bombycidae.
ACAAUUUGGAGAACACUUUAUAAAUAUUCGACAUAAGGCUUAUAGGCCUGUAGUUUUCUAUAAUGUUCCUAUCCCCUUUUUUGUGUAAUAGUAUAAUUGUGCUCUUGGUC